CAGUCGCCGCGGGAAAACGAAGGGGGCUAGCGUUGUUCGGAUUUACUGGGCGUAAAGGGCGCGUAGGCGGACUGAUAAGUCAGGGGUGAAAUCCCAAGGCUCAACCUUGGAACUGCCUUUGAUACUGUUUGUCUUGAGUUCGAGAGAGGUAAGUGGAACUGCGAGUGUAGAGGUGAAAUUCGUAGAUAUUCGCAAGAACACCAGUGGCGAAGGCGGCUUACUGGCUCGAAACUGACGCUGAGGCGCGAAAGCGUGGGGAGCAAACAGGAUUAGAUACCCCGGUAGUCCCUGUCUCUUAUAA
Molecule: ribosomal RNA, 301 nt
Filed under: uncultured bacterium
Lineage: Bacteria
Description: partial 16S ribosomal RNA
Rfam family: Bacterial small subunit ribosomal RNA
Source: RNAcentral